Molecule: ribosomal RNA, 373 nt
Filed under: uncultured organism
Description: bacterial SSU rRNA
Rfam family: Bacterial small subunit ribosomal RNA
Source: RNAcentral
CGUAGGGUGCGAGCGUUAAUCGGAAUUACUGGGCGUAAAGUGUGCGCAGGCGGCCGAGCAAGUCGAGUGUGAAAGCCCCGAGCUUAACUUGGGAACUGCGCUCGAAACUACUUGGCUGGAGUGUGGCAGAGGAAGGUGGAAUUCCACGUGUAGCGGUGAAAUGCGUAGAGAUGUGGAGGAACACCGAUGGCGAAGGCAGCCUUCUGGGCCAACACUGACGCUCAUGCACGAAAGCGUGGGGAGCAAACAGGAUUAGAUACCCUGGUAGUCCACGCCCUAAACGAUGAUGACCAGUUGUUGGAGGAGUUAAAUCCUUUAGUAACGCAGCUAACGCGUGAAGUCAUCCGCCUGGGGAGUACGGUCGCAAGAUUAA